Molecule: ribosomal RNA, 198 nt
Filed under: uncultured bacterium
Lineage: Bacteria
Description: partial 16S ribosomal RNA
Rfam family: Bacterial small subunit ribosomal RNA
Source: RNAcentral
ACGCUCGACACCUACGGGGGCAGCAGUGGGGAAUAUUGCACAAUGGGGGAAACCCUGAUGCAGCGACGCCGCGUGGAGGAAGAAGGUCUUCGGAUUGUAAACUCCUGUUGUUGGGGAAAAAAGAGGAUGGUACCCAACAAGGAAGUGACGGCUAACUACGUACCAGCAGCCGCGGUAAUCUGAGCGGGCUGGCAAGGC